GUGCAGCCGCCGCGGUAAUACCGGCAGCCCGAGUGAUGGCCGAUAUUAUUGGGCCUAAAGCGUCCGUAGCUGGCCGAACAAGUCCGUCGGGAAAUCCACGUGCUUAACGCGUGGGCGACCGGCGGAAACUGUUCGGCUUGGGACCGGAGGACCCGAGGGGUACGUCCGGGGUAGGAGUGAAAUCCCGUAAUCCUAGACGGACCGCCGGUGGCGAAAGCGCCUCGGGAAGACGGACCCGACAGUGAGGGACGAAAGCUGGGAUCUCGAACCGGAUUAGAUACCCGAGUAGUCC
This 292-nucleotide ribosomal RNA is filed under the name uncultured bacterium. RNAcentral's name for it is "partial 16S ribosomal RNA". It matches the Rfam family "Archaeal small subunit ribosomal RNA", at positions 455 to 747 of the family's 1478-position model. The record is from RNAcentral.